This 24-nucleotide transfer RNA is filed under the name Delphinus delphis (saddleback dolphin). RNAcentral's name for it is "partial tRNA-Glu". The record is from RNAcentral. Lineage: Eukaryota; Metazoa; Chordata; Mammalia; Artiodactyla; Delphinidae.
UAGGGUUCUUGUAGUUGAAUUACA